This is a long non-coding RNA of Carcharodon carcharias (great white shark), 387 nucleotides long. RefSeq lists it as uncharacterized. Lineage: Eukaryota; Metazoa; Chordata; Chondrichthyes; Lamniformes; Lamnidae. The record is from RefSeq and is a predicted model, not a curated record. The transcript has 3 exons.
CGUAAAUGAGAAGCCUCUGGUUAUGGAAGUGGAUACAGGGGCAUCAGCCAUCGUGAUGGGGGUCAGCAAUGUAUCAGACUGCAGCUUCUCUAUGGAUCAUGGAUUUUCAAUCAGUACCAAGGACAGCAACUGUUGCAGUGAAAGAUUUGGAAUAAAGAACCACAAGUAUGAGAACGUCACUAAAAUCCAACAGGGAAUUCAGCAAGCAGUUCUUUAUCCAAAGAUUGGGGAAGAUGAUGCAUAACAUCCAGGAGAGGUGUCUAAGUGGCAAUGGAGUCCCAUUACUGGCAAUCCUGAUGCCAAUUGAGGAAGGUGCCGUGGAGAUUGGCAGUAUGACAGCAGACCAGACUGUCGCCGCAGGAGAGGAGUUUGCAGCAGAGAGUGGGU